AUCUAUUGUUUCUGUUGGAUAUCAAGAAAAUGAGUUAGUAAAGUAGUAAUCAUGUUUAAUGCUAAUCAAUUUGUCGCAUGCAUUCACUUAUUCACUUAUAGUUAUUUUGUCUCAUAAAACUUUAUAUUGUCAUUAUUCUCAAUGUAUUCAACAAUUCAGUGUAUAAAAACUUUAGAAGAAAGUUACUACGUCCAUUCACAUAACUGAAUAUGGGAGGUCUCGAUUACAUUUUUUUUCCUCCUCCUUUUUGGUCCACAGUGGUCCUCAUUUGAAACAAAUGCCUUCCGCUUAAUAACUAGUGGCUUAAUUGUGCUAUGUAUUGUUUUGCAGGGAGAGUUCCAACACUACAAAAGGGAAAUAGAAUGGAAAAUAUAUUUAGUUUUCCAUGGUCGAAAGAUAGUCCUAUUGUUCUUGGACCGAGAUUUAAGGAUGCAUUCCAAGACCCAAAUUCAUACCUUGCCAUAGAGCCCAUCUUUGAGAAAGAGAGGUAAGAUGGUCUCAGCUUU
Non-coding RNA from Camellia sinensis, 506 nucleotides. The record is from RefSeq and is a predicted model, not a curated record. Lineage: Eukaryota; Viridiplantae; Streptophyta; Magnoliopsida; Ericales; Theaceae.